Vespa velutina is the source of this 1157-nucleotide long non-coding RNA. RefSeq lists it as uncharacterized. The record is from RefSeq and is a predicted model, not a curated record. Lineage: Eukaryota; Metazoa; Arthropoda; Insecta; Hymenoptera; Vespidae. The transcript is spliced from 4 exons.
UGUAGUACCUAGUGUGCCUCCUCGAGCCGGUUCCCAUACCUUCCACGGCGAUAACAUAUAAUAACGAUGGCCUCGUGAAGCCUACGGGCAAUCUGACUUUGUAGGAAAGACAAAAACGAAAGAUCCACUAUCGUGCGAUAUACGUAUGUACAAAAGUGUAAUCCUACGAUUCACGACUAUCCGUCCUAAUAACGACGUAUCGUUUAGAUAAUAAUACGUUCAAUGUCAAGGUGUUGUUAUCGGUUCGGUAGCAAGGUAUAUAGGUGAUACGUACCUAUAAACAGUACAGAUCGAUAGGUCAGGAUGGAAAAGUAUUCAAAAGAAAUAUGGUGAAGUAGACGCACGCGAGACGUAAGAGACAUACAUACAUAUAUACUGUCGGCCGUUUGCUGUCAAAAGAGAGAUGCUAAACAGUCGAAUGCAAAAAAGAGAAAGAAAGAAGGAAAGAAAGAGAGAAAGAGAGAAAGAGAGAGAGAGAGAGAGAGAGAGAGAGAGUAAGAGAGACGAAGGAAGAAAUGCCGCGACUGGUACCAAGGGCGGAGAACGAAACGCCGUGAUUACCUCAGGCGAUUUCUUCGACCCACCAAAGAGGGGAACCCGAGCGUGCCUCGACCGUACUUCGACCGGACCCGAUCCCGGGUCAGAUCCUCUCGCGCUAUGGGAAAAGGCUAAACGAUCGACUCACAUCGCUUGGAUUGCUUGCUCCGCUUUCGACGUCCUGUCCUUAGAAACGAUCGAUCUUCACUCGUACGAUUACAAAUGUUCCAUCGUCUUAUUGUCAUGUUAUUUAUGAAUUUUUACGAGAUACAAAAAAAUACUUCUCGAUUGGAAAAUAACAUAUGUACUUCGUGAUACGUUGUCAGCUUACUUGGUUAGAGUUUCGAGGGAAGAUGUGUAUAUCGUUCCACCAACGUCAAUGUGUACCGGUGCCGUGUACCUCGAAGCCGCCGCUACACAUGGUAUACCCGUCAUCUUUUGAUUGUAAACCGGCGUGACCGGCGUCGGUGGUGUCGGUGACGAGGAAUUCGACAUCGUAGGCGACGUGGCCGGCGAACUGCUUGGCGACAGCAAUCUAACGAAAAGGACACUUUCGAUAUUAACAUUAUUGGUCAGACUUUUUAUUAAAUUAAACGCAAUAAAAUUCUUUGUUGAGGUUU